CUCCCGCCGCCGCUCCCCGGCCACAGCGAGGUCCCGUGCGGCGGCUCGGGGACAGACCAGAGGCCCCCGCCGGCUCCGGAGUCGCCGCGGCGGCUGUGACGCCCGAGGCCCCGCUCCCUCCGUAACACGCUCCCCUCCCCUGGAGGCUGCGCUGACCGGACAAUGGCCGCUCCGCCCCCUCCCCUCCGCGCGCACCCCUCCCAAGGAGUGGCGAUGGUCUUGCCCGGGGAAACCACCGCCAAAGCCCAGCAGCUGAUCAGCUGGGAUCCGGGCGUGCCACUUUGUUCCGCGCCUCGGAGUCCGGGGCCGUGGACAACGCCGAGAGCGUUGAGCAACGGGCUUCUGAGGCCUUCGUGUUCUAGGAACUUUCACAAUAUGAGGCAAACUUACCUUCCCCUGUCAGGGGAAGGGGACUCGGUUUCUGAGUACUCUGGGGCGCGUCACCCCCCCCCCGCAAAGCGAAUGGUACGCCCCAAGCGGGCGGGGGAGGAGCAGAUUAGUUGUUUAGGAUCCCAAAGGCUGAGGGCAAUAAGAUCUCACAAAGAACUGACACAAGGAGCUGACAUAUUAACAGGAAGCCAGUAGGUACUCUGAAAGCUCUUUCUCUAGUCACAUGUUCUUGCAUCUCUGCUUCUCUUUCCAAAACUUUGGGCUUGCUUAUCCGCAUUUCCAGAACCAGUGGAGACUAAUUAGUACCUGUGAACCCCAGUUGCCAGAAGAAAGAAACUGAAUGGUCCAGUUUAUGUCAGGUUUGUCUGCCCUUGGUACCGAUUCAUCUUUGGCCAGGGGAUCAGAUGGUAGUCAAGGCUCUUGUGGUACAAACUCAGCUGGCAGACAUCCAUCCUUAUAAGCUGCAAAUCCCAAAAAGAUCAGUUGUGUUCUUAGCGAAGAUCUAAAAGGUGUCUGCUGCAGAUGAAAAGUAGUAAACUGCAGCUGAAAUCCAAAACCAUAAGGAACAGUGGGCUUGUUCAAGAAAUUUCCAACAGACUCAUUCCUACUUAAACUAUGUCAGGCCUUGAUUUAAACACUGUCCCUCAAAGAAGCCUUCGCUCCCCCUCAAACAUGUUCUCCCAUUAUUAUCUGACAAGGCACAGUUUUCCUUUGUAACAGCUACCACAGUUUGUAAUUAAAUAUGUAUUCAUGAGUCUCCUCUCCAAAGAUCCUAUCGGUUUUGUUCACCAUGAUAUACACAAUGCCCGGGGCAAUUUUGGAAGAUGUUCUAUGAAUAGUUGUUGAAUGAAUAAAAAGGCACAAUAAUUUGUUAGUCAGUGUAAAAUUCAGAUAGAUUGAUAUCCUAAUCAGACUAUCCUAGAGAAAUGUGUCAGUCACCAACUCACCUUCCCUAAAAGACACUGAACCUCACUGUUCGCUUUCUGAUCACAAUGUGAAAUAAGACCCAGUGUUCAUCUGCUUUGUCUUAUGACAUUGCUAGUCCGCUAACUCUUCACUCUUGGUCCCAAAGUCUCUGUCUGAAGAGACUUGAUCUAAUUCCUGUAAAAUGCCCAUUUAGCUGGCUGAAAGCUCCGAGAGGACAUAACAUAUCAGGACAUCAUCAAAUUAGGGGACCAAAGUGUGGGGGUAAUUGGCCAAAGUGCUUUUGUCAUAAUUGUCUUGACUAUUUUCUAGUGUGGAUUAUGUUCCAGAUGAACCUGUCAUGUGACUCUUGGGAGUAGUUUGCAAUCACCAUUGGUCCAAAAGGAGCCAUCUACGUGCUCAGCAGGGGCUGGUGAAGAGUAAUAUUGAUGCUUCAGCAGCCAGGGCUCUGAAAGUAGCAUCUGAAGUUGCAGUAUGAGAAAGCCUAGUGUCACUCCAGGGCGGAGCUCACAAGGGCUGCCUUCCUGGUAAAAACCCCAGGGACUAGUUAUGUAGCCCUGGGAGACAGCACCAAAAAGAUGGGGCUUAAAAGAACCUGAGAGAAAGCAGAGGAUCCUCUACUCUGAUCCUAAUCCUUAGCCCCACCUCUUAACUCUGGUUCAAAGCCUUUGUAAUUCAUUCUAACCUGGAAUUAGCCUCAAUAGCCAAUCCAAACGCUGGCCUCCAUCUUCAUCCUAAUCUUAAUAUUAUCUGUAAAGUUUAACCCCAGGUUUCAGACCUAAUGCCACCCAUCAUUCUAGCAGUUUAACGAAGGCUUUUUGCCUGACCACCAAGCGGUUUUCCCCAGCUCCUCUUCCUUGUGACCCUUGACCCUGACCCACUCACAGGAAUACAGAACCCUGUAACAUUUUAGACUACUGGGGAGAGUGGGAGCCAGGUUCAGUAAUCAGGAAAAGGAAAAGAGCCCUGGCGUUUGAGGAAAAAGAAUGUGGGGCAUUUCUCACCUGAGCAGGAGAUGGGGACCCUGCC
Molecule: long non-coding RNA, 2343 nt
Organism: Chinchilla lanigera (long-tailed chinchilla)
Lineage: Eukaryota; Metazoa; Chordata; Mammalia; Rodentia; Chinchillidae
Source: Ensembl